This 658-nucleotide small RNA is filed under the name Oryza sativa Japonica Group (Japanese rice). RNAcentral's name for it is "sRNA Os01g0173950". Lineage: Eukaryota; Viridiplantae; Streptophyta; Magnoliopsida; Poales; Poaceae. The record is from RNAcentral.
GCUACGUGUGCGUCGAUCUCAUCGUGUAUUCCGCUACGAGCUUGGAGAAGAGAGACGACUUGUCCUCCAGUAGCCUGGUCGGCGUGUCGCGCUCCACGGCCACACCUGCAAAAGCAUUGGCACGGUGUUUCGGUCGUCAGACAGACGCGACAAACCCAUACAAUAUGUAAGAUAAAUUGGGAUUGGUUAGUUGGAACUGUGGCGAACUAAACUCACCGUUGUCAAGGAGCAAGACCAUGUCGCUGUCAAGGACGGAGGUGAUCCGGUGCGCGAUUGUGAUGACCGUCGCGUCGGAAAACUGCUGCCUGAGAGUUUUCUGGAUGAGGUUGUCCGUGGCGGUGUCGACGGAGGCCGUGGCCUCGUCGAGCACCAGGAUCUUGCUCCGUUUCAGGAUCACCCUCCCAAGGCACACCAGCUGACGCUGACCCACGCUCCAGUUCUCGCCGUUCUCUAUCACUGCAACCAAGCCAAGCCAAGCCAAAUCGGGAGAAUAUUCACCAAGAAUUACCAAGUGUAAAAGUAGACUUUGAACUGCAUGAUUCUGAACAGGAAAAAGAAAUGAGUCCAGAUGCAGAGAACCGAACGGACCUGGUGAAUCAAGUCGCAGCUCCUUCCUCCUAACUUCAUCUCCUAGCUGACAGCGAUCCAAGGCCUGAAA